This 65-nucleotide small RNA is filed under the name Leptolyngbya sp. 'hensonii'. RNAcentral's name for it is "Cyanobacterial functional RNA 1". It matches the Rfam family "Cyanobacterial functional RNA 1". The record is from Rfam by way of RNAcentral. Lineage: Bacteria; Bacillati; Cyanobacteriota; Cyanophyceae; Leptolyngbyales; Leptolyngbyaceae.
GCGGAGACGAAUGUUUCCGUUCACUCCUCACACCACACUCCGCCCGGACUUCGGUUCGGGCGGUU